UACGAAGGGGGCUAGCGUUGCUCGGAAUUACUGGGCGUAAAGCGCACGUAGGCGGACUCUUAAGUCGGUGGUGAAAUCCUGGAGCUCAACUCCAGAACUGCCUUCGAUACUGAGAGUCUUGAGUCCGGGAGAGGUGAGUGGAACUGCGAGUGUAGAGGUGAAAUUCGUAGAUAUUCGCAAGAACACCAGUGGCGAAGGCGGCUCACUGGCCCGGUACUGACGCUGAGGU
RNAcentral lists this ribosomal RNA (229 nucleotides) under uncultured bacterium. Its description in RNAcentral is "partial 16S ribosomal RNA". It matches the Rfam family "Bacterial small subunit ribosomal RNA", at positions 524 to 752 of the family's 1533-position model. The record is from RNAcentral.